UGUAUGAUAUGAAUUUAGUAGAAUAGAUAUAAUUUUAUCUAUAUUAAAUAAAUAAUUGAUUAAGUUUCAUAAUUGUGUACUUGUGUCAUAUAUGUUUGGGAAAUUAUUUUUAAUCUUUAUUCACCAAAUUUGUAAUUUGUAAUAUAUUUUUGUACUUUCAUAUAUGAUAACAUUUUUAAUUUUCCACAUUUUAUUUCUAAACUUAAGUAGGUGUUUUAAUAGAAUAGACAUUACAGAUAACCCUAAAAAAUGUUUGAUAAUAAUAUAGAUUAGUAAUAUCUAAUUAAGGUCAAUUAGAUUUAAAAAAAAAAAAAAAAAGAUAAAAACCCAUACAAAUACACAAUGCAAAACAAUGCAUCAAAUUUGAGGUCCCAGGCCCAAAUAAAUAAAUAAAUCCUGACCACAAACUUAUUAUACAGAAAAAAAAAUCUUUUUAGAAAGAUCAGCUCGAAAAUAAAGUUUCUCUCUCCCUCUUUCUAUUACAACCGACCAGAUCUUGUCUCAGCUCAAAUUUAAUCGAUCUGUAAAAAAAAUUGCUCAGAUCAGCUCAGAUGUGACGGAUCCUCUGUUUCUUUUGAUGAGGGAUCUGAGUGAAGCUGAUCUUAAUCGAUGAUAAUAUAUGUGUCUGAAGUGUACUGGAGGGAAGGAAAGGUCAACAAAACCAAAGCAUUGAUCUUGUCUCCAUUGAAAAAGAAGAUGUCUGAAAAGAAACUCGUUUUUGUGUCUAUAGCAUCACCAAACAAUUUAACUCCUACAUCUGAAAAGCAAGCCUGUACUCUACUAUGGCGGGUCCCCUACUAUGGCCUGAACGCGUGGAAGACUGUGGAAGCUGACAUGAGUGGCUCUAUUGGUUUGAAACCAGAGCAGUAAAAAUAUACAUGGCUCCUAUGAAGAUCCCAGGCGCUCAUUAUUAUAAAAGAAGUAAAAUGAUGUUAGGAAACCAAUCAAAGCCAUAUCAGACUAACUUUGAGAUCGACAGG
This is a long non-coding RNA of Brassica rapa (field mustard), 980 nucleotides long. RefSeq lists it as uncharacterized. The record is from RefSeq and is a predicted model, not a curated record. Lineage: Eukaryota; Viridiplantae; Streptophyta; Magnoliopsida; Brassicales; Brassicaceae.